CCUACGGGUGGCAGCAGUGAGGAAUAUUGGUCAAUGGGCGUAAGCCUGAACCAGCCAAGUCGCGUGAGGGAUGAAGGUUCUAUGGAUCGUAAACCUCUUUUAUAAGGGAAUAAAGUGUGGGACGUGUCCUAUUUUGCAUGUACCUUAUGAAUAAGGAUCGGCUCACUCCGUGCCAGCAGCCGCGGUAAUACGGAGGAUCCGAGCGUUAUCCGGAUUUAUUGGGUUUAAAGGGUGCGUAGGCGGCCUGUUAAGUCAGCGGUGAAAGUCUGUGGCUCAACCCGAGAAUUGCCGUUGAAACUGGGGGGUUGGAGUAUGGUUGAGGCAGGCGGAAUGCGUGGUGUAGCGGUGAAAUGCUUAGAGAUCACGCAGAACCCCGAUUGCGAAGGCAGCCGGCCAAGCCAUGACUGACGCUGAUGCACGAAAGCGUGGGGAUCAAACAGGAUUAGAUACCCUGGUAGUC
Molecule: ribosomal RNA, 460 nt
Filed under: uncultured bacterium
Lineage: Bacteria
Description: partial 16S ribosomal RNA
Rfam family: Bacterial small subunit ribosomal RNA
Source: RNAcentral